AGAGUGAACGCUGGCGGCAGGCCUAACACAUGCAAGCCGAACGGCAGCACAGGGGAGCUUGCUCCCUGGGUGGCGAGUGGCGGACGGGUGAGGAAACGUCGGAAUCUGCCUGUUUGUGGGGGAUAACGUAGGGAAACUUACGCUAAUACCGCAUACGACCUACGGGUGAAAGCGGAGGACCUUCGGGCUUCGCGCAGAUAGAUGAGCCGACGUCGGAUUAGCUAGUUGGCGGGGUAAAGCCCACCAAGGCGACGAUCCGUAGCUGGUCUGAGAGGAUGAUCAGCCACACUGGAACUGAGACACGGUCCAGACUCCGUACGGGAGGCAGCAGUGGGGGAAUAG
Molecule: ribosomal RNA, 342 nt
Filed under: uncultured soil bacterium
Lineage: Bacteria
Description: bacterial SSU rRNA
Rfam family: Bacterial small subunit ribosomal RNA
Source: RNAcentral